This is a long non-coding RNA of Mustela lutreola (European mink), 692 nucleotides long. RefSeq lists it as uncharacterized. The record is from RefSeq and is a predicted model, not a curated record. The transcript is spliced from 3 exons. Lineage: Eukaryota; Metazoa; Chordata; Mammalia; Carnivora; Mustelidae.
CCCCUUUGCCAAAGGGCUUGCUGCUCAAGAUAAGUUAAAUCUGGAUCUGUUUCCGGGAGUUAAAGGUCUUGAGCACUCGCGUGGCUUUGCUGCAACUGCACAGCAUCGGGGUCGAAGGUGGAAUCUAAGCCCACCUGGCUCCUUCCCUUCUCCCUGGAAUCUGCAGGCUCCCAGGCCAAACCCAGCGCACUCCUUCGGAAACAGGGUUCUGUCUUGACAAGCCGGAACACUGCUGGAGCUGGGAACGAGUAGAAGCUUCUCUGCCAGAAUCGUCUAGAGCCUGGCUGCUCAAAGGGUGGUUCGGGAACCGAAGCGUAUCAACACUACUUGGUACGAAGAUCUCAGCUUCACCUCAGACAAGCUAACUCAGAACCUGCAUUUUAACAAGAGAUCCACCCAUGCAUGAUUUGACUGCACUUUAAAGGUUUUUACUUAUAGUAUUUUAACUGCAAGGAUUUUUCUGCUACACGGACCAAGAGAAGAGGGCCGGGGACUGAAUCUGAGAAACCCAACAUGGAAGAAGGGGGUUGAUGAGGAUGAGCUGCCCGGAAAGCUAGGAGAAAACCCGGUGGGCUUGACUCACGGAAGCCCAGAGCAAUGACCUUUUAAGGACAUAAUUUUUGUCAGUUUCUCUUAUCACGCUGACAAGCAUGUAAUGAAAGCCCUCCAUAAAUAUUAGCCAUUGUUCCUGC